RNAcentral lists this ribosomal RNA (1562 nucleotides) under Vibrio alginolyticus. RNAcentral describes it as "bacterial SSU rRNA". It matches the Rfam family "Bacterial small subunit ribosomal RNA". The record is from RNAcentral. Lineage: Bacteria; Pseudomonadati; Pseudomonadota; Gammaproteobacteria; Vibrionales; Vibrionaceae.
AAAUUGAAGAGUUUGAUCAUGGCUCAGAUUGAACGCUGGCGGCAGGCCUAACACAUGCAAGUCGAGCGGAAACGAGUUAUCUGAACCUUCGGGGAAGGAUAACGGCGUCGAGCGGCGGACGGGUGAGUAAUGCCUAGGAAAUUGCCCUGAUGUGGGGGAUAACCAUUGGAAACGAUGGCUAAUACCGCAUGAUGCCUACGGGCCAAAGAGGGGGACCUUCGGGCCUCUCGCGUCAGGAUAUGCCUAGGUGGGAUUAGCUAGUUGGUGAGGUAAGGGCUCACCAAGGCGACGAUCCCUAGCUGGUCUGAGAGGAUGAUCAGCCACACUGGAACUGAGACACGGUCCAGACUCCUACGGGAGGCAGCAGUGGGGAAUAUUGCACAAUGGGCGCAAGCCUGAUGCAGCCAUGCCGCGUGUGUGAAGAAGGCCUUCGGGUUGUAAAGCACUUUCAGUCGUGAGGAAGGUAGUGUAGUUAAUAGCUGCAUUAUUUGACGUUAGCGACAGAAGAAGCACCGGCUAACUCCGUGCCAGCAGCCGCGGUAAUACGGAGGGUGCGAGCGUUAAUCGGAAUUACUGGGCGUAAAGCGCAUGCAGGUGGUUUGUUAAGUCAGAUGUGAAAGCCCGGGGCUCAACCUCGGAAUAGCAUUUGAAACUGGCAGACUAGAGUACUGUAGAGGGGGGUAGAAUUUCAGGUGUAGCGGUGAAAUGCGUAGAGAUCUGAAGGAAUACCGGUGGCGAAGGCGGCCCCCUGGACAGAUACUGACACUCAGAUGCGAAAGCGUGGGGAGCAAACAGGAUUAGAUACCCUGGUAGUCCACGCCGUAAACGAUGUCUACUUGGAGGUUGUGGCCUUGAGCCGUGGCUUUCGGAGCUAACGCGUUAAGUAGACCGCCUGGGGAGUACGGUCGCAAGAUUAAAACUCAAAUGAAUUGACGGGGGCCCGCACAAGCGGUGGAGCAUGUGGUUUAAUUCGAUGCAACGCGAAGAACCUUACCUACUCUUGACAUCCAGAGAACUUUCCAGAGAUGGAUUGGUGCCUUCGGGAACUCUGAGACAGGUGCUGCAUGGCUGUCGUCAGCUCGUGUUGUGAAAUGUUGGGUUAAGUCCCGCAACGAGCGCAACCCUUAUCCUUGUUUGCCAGCGAGUAAUGUCGGGAACUCCAGGGAGACUGCCGGUGAUAAACCGGAGGAAGGUGGGGACGACGUCAAGUCAUCAUGGCCCUUACGAGUAGGGCUACACACGUGCUACAAUGGCGCAUACAGAGGGCGGCCAACUUGCGAAAGUGAGCGAAUCCCAAAAAGUGCGUCGUAGUCCGGAUUGGAGUCUGCAACUCGACUCCAUGAAGUCGGAAUCGCUAGUAAUCGUGGAUCAGAAUGCCACGGUGAAUACGUUCCCGGGCCUUGUACACACCGCCCGUCACACCAUGGGAGUGGGCUGCAAAAGAAGUAGGUAGUUUAACCUUCGGGGGGACGCUUACCACUUUGUGGUUCAUGACUGGGGUGAAGUCGUAACAAGGUAGCGCUAGGGGAACCUGGCGCUGGAUCACCUCCUUAAACGAUGAU